RNAcentral lists this ribosomal RNA (279 nucleotides) under uncultured bacterium. RNAcentral describes it as "partial 16S ribosomal RNA". It matches the Rfam family "Bacterial small subunit ribosomal RNA", at positions 506 to 784 of the family's 1533-position model. The record is from RNAcentral.
UGCCAGCCGCCGCGGUAAUACGGAGGGUGCUAGCGUUGUUCGGAAUUACUGGGCGUAAAGAGCGCGUAGGCGGUCUGGUAAGUUGGUAGUGAAAUCCCAGGGCUCAACCCUGGAACUGCUAUCAAAACUGUUAGACUAGAGUAUGGUAGGGGAUAGUGGAAUUCCUAGUGUAGAGGUGAAAUUCGUAGAUAUUAGGAGGAACACCAGAGGCGAAGGCGACUAUCUGGGCCAUUACUGACGCUAAGGCGCGAAAGCGUGGGGAGCAAACAGGAUUAGAUA